CGUGGGGGGCGCGGGCGAAGUUCGUCCGCCGGACUCGGAAUGGGGCGAGACUUUGCAAAGGGCCUCGGGGUGCCUGCAGGAAGUCGCGGGCACAGCCGCGUCCAGAAAUAAGCACCCGAAGGUCGUGGUGCCAAAACCCCCCAGCGGAAAAAUGGCCAAAAAACAGGUGGGCUAUAGCCUUGGUGGGGGGCGCGGGCGAAGUUCGUCCGCCGGACUCGGAAUGGGGCGAGACAUUGCGCGGGGCCUCGGGGCGCCAAAAAUAAGCCGCGGGCAAUGCCGCGCCCAAAAAUAAGCGCCCGAAGGUCGUGGUGCCAAAACCCCCCAGCUGAAAAAUGGCCAAAAAACGGGUGGGCUAUAGCCUAAGUGGGGGGCGCGGGCGAAGUUCGUCCGCCGGAGUCGGAAUGGGGCGAGACUUUGCGAGGGGCCUCGGGGUGCCAAAAAUAAGCCGCGGGCAAAGCCGCGCCCAAAAAUAAGCGCCCAAAGGUCGUGGUGCCAAAACCCCCCAGCGGAAAAAUGGCCAAAAAACGGGUGGGCUAUAGCCUUGGUGGGGGGCGUGGGCGAAGUUCGUCCGCGGGACUCGGAAUGGCACCAGACUUGGCGGGCGGCCUCCGUGUGCCAAAAAUAGGCCACGGGCACAGCCGCGCCCAAAAACCAGCCCCCGAAGGUCGGGGUCCCAAGACCCCCCAGCGGAAAAAUGGCCAAAAAAAGGGUGGGCUAUAGCCUUGGUGGGGGGCGUGGGCGAAGUUCGUCCGCGGGACUCGGAAUGGCACCAGACUUGGCGGGCGGCCUCCGUGUGCCAAAAAUAAGCCGCGGGCAAUGCCGCGCCCAAAAAUAAGCGCCCGAAGGUCGUGGUGCCAAAACCCCCCAGCGUGAAAAAUGGCCAAAAAACGGGUGGGCUAUAGCCUAAGUGGGGGGCGCGGGCGAAGUUCGUCCGCCGGAGUCGGAAUGGCACCAGACUUGGCGGGGGGCCUCGGUGUGCCAAAAAUAGGCCGCGGGCACAGCCGCGCCCAAAAAUCAGCCCCCGAAGGUCGGGGUCCCAAGACCCCCCAGCGGAAAAAUGGCCAAAAAACGGGUGGGCUAUAGCCUUGGUGGGGGGCGUGGGCGAAGUUCGUCCGCGGGACUCGGAAUGGCACCAGACUUGGCGGGCGGCCUCCGUGUGCCAAAAAUAGGCCACGGGCACAGCCGCGCCCAAAAAACAGCCCCCGAAGGUCGGGGUCCCAAGACCCCCCAGCGGAAAAAUGGCCAAAAAACGGGUGGGCUAUAGCCUUGGUGGGGGGCGUGGGCGAAGUUCGUCCGCGGGACUCGGAAUGGCACCAGACUUGGCGGGCGGCCUCCGUGUGCCAAAAAUAGGCCACGGGCACAGCCGCGCCCAAAAAACAGCCCCCGAAGGUCGGGGUCCCAAGACCCCCCAGCGGAAAAAUGGCCAAAAAACGGGUGGGCUAUAGCCUUGGUGGGGGGCGUGGGCGAAGUUCGUCCGCGGGACUCGGAAUGGCACCAGACUUGGCGGGCGGCCUCCGUGUGCCAAAAAUAGGCCACGGGCACAGCCGCGCCCAAAAACCAGCCCCCGAAGGUCGGGGUCCCAAGACCCCCCAGCGGAAAAAUGGCCAAAAAACGGGUGGGCUAUAGCCUUGGUGGGGGGCGUGGGCGAAGUUCGUCCGCGGGACUCGGAAUGGCACCAGACUUGGCGGGCGGCCUCCGUGUGCCAAAAAUAGGCCACGGGCACAGCCGCGCCCAAAAAACAGCCCCCGAAGGUCGGGGUCCCAAGACCCCCCAGCGGAAAAAUGGCCAAAAAACGGGUGGGCUAUAGCCUUGGUGGGGGGCGUGGGCGAAGUUCGUCCGCGGGACUCGGAAUGGCACCAGACCUUGGCGGGCGGCCUCCGUGUGCCAAAAAUAAGCCGCGGGCAACGCCGCGCCCAAAAAUAAGCCCCCGAAGGUUGGGGUGCCCAAACCCCCCAGGUGAAAAAUGGCCAAAAAACGGGUGGGCUAUAGCCUAAGUGGGGGGCGCGGGCGAAGUUCGUCCGCGGGCGUCGGAAUGGGGCCGAGACUUGGCGGGGGGCCUCGGGGUGCCAAAAAUAAGCCGCGGGCACAGCCGCGCCCAAAAAUCAGCCCCCGAAGGUCGGGGUCCCAAGACCCCCCAGCGGAAAAAUGGCCAAAAAACGCGUGGGCUAUAGCCUC
Molecule: long non-coding RNA, 2175 nt
Filed under: Citrus x clementina
Lineage: Eukaryota; Viridiplantae; Streptophyta; Magnoliopsida; Sapindales; Rutaceae
Description: Citrus clementina (C. clementina) long non-coding RNA (CCLE_LNC005963)
Source: RNAcentral